RNAcentral lists this ribosomal RNA (471 nucleotides) under uncultured bacterium. RNAcentral's name for it is "partial 16S ribosomal RNA". It matches the Rfam family "Bacterial small subunit ribosomal RNA", at positions 28 to 507 of the family's 1533-position model. The record is from RNAcentral.
GACGAACGCUGGCGGCGUGCUUAACACAUGCAAGUCGAACGAUGAAGCCUAGCUUGCUAGGUGGAUUAGUGGCGAACGGGUGAGUAAUACGUGAGUGACCGACCUUUGACUCUGGGAUAAGCCUGGGAAACUGGGCCUAAUACCGGAUACGACCAAUCUCCGCAGGGGGUGUUGGUGGAAAGCGUUAUGGAGUGGUUUUAGAUGGGCGCACGGCCUAUCAGCUUGUUGGUGAGGUAAUGGCUUACCCAGGCGACGACGGGUAGCCGGCCUGAGAGGGUGACCGGCCACACUGGGCCUGAGACACGGCCCAGACGCCUACGGUAGGCAGCAGUGGGGAAUAUUGCACAAUGGGCGCAAGCCUGAUGCAGCGGCGCCGCGUGAGGGAUGACGGCCUUCGGGGUGUAAACCUCUGUUAGCAUCGAAGAAGCGAAAGUGACGGUAGGUGCAGAGAAAGCGCCGGCUAACUACGUG